UAUAUCCCCUCACAAAUUUUCAGUUGAAUUGGACAACCUGUUGUUGGGUUGCUGCCCUAAAAUUGGUGAUUUUAAGGUAAUUUUGCAGUUUUUGGUUAUUAUCUUGAAUACUAUUAUAGAUAGAGAUAAACUGUAGACAGCAAUAAUGUUCAGCAAAGUAAGAUCACAAAUAAGUCAGCAUGAUCAAAAUUGUAAGAGGACCCCUUAAGGAGUUAUUGCCCUUUAUAGUCAAUAUUGAACAACUUUUCGUCAUUUUUGUAACUUGUAUAAAAUCAUUUCUAAAACUACUUGGCCAAAUUUAACCAAACUUGGCCACCAUCAUAAUACUAGGGUAUCUAUUUUAAAAAAAAAGUGUCUAAUGACCCCGCCUACCAACGAAGAUGGCCGACAUCAGUAAACACAUUAACAGGGCAAGAACAUGAAAGAUAAAGGGGAAACUAUAAAAAGAAGAAAUUAUCAACAAAAUAAGAUUUACAGAGGUCAACAAAGCCUAAAUGGUCAGACAUCUCAAUUUUCAUGGUCAUCAUUCACAGAUCAAUACUGAACGGAAAACUUAAAGCUGAUAUUUUUCUCCAUGGUGCGACUUUUUUAUUAAUUUGAAAUGGAACAUGUUUUUUCCUACAUUUAUUUGAAAGAGGAAAUUUCAACAUGAUGACUAUAAACAAAAAGGAGUCAUAUCAUCACGAUCAUUGAUGCACAAGAACUUGAUCAUAUAAAUACAACAAUGUAAUUAUCAAUUGAAAGAUGGAACGAAUGAACAAGAUAUUAGAAUGUUGUUGUCCAAAUAAACUUGCUUUGUCUUCUCAUUUGAAUCUCUCCAUUCAUUAAAGAUGUACAGAGGAAGAUCUUUGAAGAACAGAUUGAAAAAAUAUUUUGUCUAAGAAUUGCAGGAAUAUUCUAGUGAAUGAAAUUAUUUAUUGACUUCACUCUUAUAUAGUGGACUGAAUAAUUGUACAUAGCAAGCUGUGAAUAAAGAAAGCAAAAACUUUAACAAAAAGUGUUUAUAUUAUAGAUUUGCAAAUAUAAGCAUACUAUUAUGUACACCACAAAGGUAUAUAUAAUUCAAAUUGUUUGCCUAUACAAGUAUUGCAAUGAACCUAUAACAAAGAAAAUCUUACCUCAUGAAAAGAGUGAACUAUUCAGUCAGAAUAUGAAAUAUUUUUUCAGUUCUAUUUUUCAUAAUAGAAUAAACAAGACAAAGAUUUCAAAACAAUAUUUUUUCAUUUAUUUAGAAAUUUCAUCAUUUUGUUUCAGUGAAAGAACUUUAUUCUUUGACUG
Long non-coding RNA from Mytilus trossulus (common blue mussel), 1278 nucleotides. RefSeq lists it as uncharacterized. The transcript is spliced from 3 exons. The record is from RefSeq and is a predicted model, not a curated record. NCBI's taxonomy places the organism in Eukaryota, Metazoa, Mollusca, Bivalvia, Mytilida, Mytilidae.